AACGUUUAUCCUAUUUUAAAUCUCUACCACAUUUUAACCAUAUUCACGCAUGUGACAAGUUUUUUAGUCCGUACUAGAAAUUUACGAACAUAGCAGGUGUGCCCGCGCGUUGCUACGGGUCAAUAAAAUCACAAACUAUUUAUUUUUAUUUUCUGUGUAGGCAACUCAUGGCACUUUCGAGGUCGGCAUGCGAGUGUGGUGGCGUCAGUUGUAAGAUGGAGUAGGAAAAAUCAUGAAAAAAACUGGAGGAAAAGAAAAUAACGGGCAGUGGCAUAUUGGUUGUAAUUUUAACUGAAGAAAAAAAAAUAACGAGAAGUGGCAUAUUGGUUGUAAUUUUAACGAAGUUAAUCUACGGCGAGUGUGACCGUACCAUCACCACCAAUUCCAAUUUAAUAGACAGUAAUGGAUAAUUUUAAACCUAUGUGGUCUCCAUCCAUUCCUCUACGUAAAUAGUAUCACGAUUUUUGGAAAAUCAAGCUUUGAUAUGCACGGUUGAUGCUUACCUUAACACGAUCGUUUCUAGCCAUCCGAUCACUUACGAUGGACAGUCCAGAUCGAUCGGUGGUACACAGAUCGAGUAAUAGGAACGUGUCGGCCCACGACCGGCCAGCUAACUUUGCCAGAACCGAAAGGGAAAAAUGAAAUCGCA
Molecule: long non-coding RNA, 649 nt
Filed under: Brachypodium distachyon (stiff brome)
Lineage: Eukaryota; Viridiplantae; Streptophyta; Magnoliopsida; Poales; Poaceae
Description: long non-coding RNA (BDIS_LNC004767)
Source: RNAcentral